AUGCGUCAGCCCUUCUUCUCUCUCGACGACCAGCGUAUCGACGAGUGCGAUGGGGACGGGCUGCCCUGGCCCGACGACGCCGUCGACGAGGCCCUCAUCUCCUCCCUGCCCGUCUUGGACGACAGGUUCCUAGAGGCCCUCGGAGUCGACUGCUCGCCGCCGGCGCCCAUGGACGUGGACGUGCACCUGCGGCUCACCCAGAGCCCGGCCGCCGGCCGGAAGACCAACUCCGGCGGUGCGUUCCCGCUCUGGGACGUGCCCACCAAACCGCGCCGCCAGCCGGCCGCCGCGCGCAAGCGGCCCUGGUCCCACCCGUCCGUGUCUUUCGGAGUCCCGGCCGUUCACGAGGCGCCGCCCGCCCACGGCGGACACGGUGUCAGCGCCGACAACGCCGGGGUGUUCAGUUACGGCAGCGACAUCAAACCCAGCAAGUUGUCUUACGGCGGCGACAUCAAACCCGGCAAGUUGAGUUUGAGUUACAGCAGCGACGGCGGCAGCAAGGUCGACGACAUGGGUGGCGGCCGCCGGCGGUCGGCGGGGCGGAAGCGGGAGCAGGCGCCGGAGGGCCAGGAAUGCGGGCACUGCCACACGACGGAGACGCCGCAGUGGCGGAACGGGCCGGACGGGCCGGCCACGCUGUGCAACGCGUGCGGCAUCCGGUACAGGAUGGGCAGGGACAAGCUGGUGCCGGAGUACCGGCCGUCGACGAGCCCCUUCUUCCGCAGCGGCGAGCACUCCAACCGCAACAGCAAGGUGCAGAAGCUCAGGGAGAAGAAGGUCAAGGCCCUCAAGCUCUACGGCGAUGGCGGCGGCUCCGGUGCACCUGGUGGCGCCAUGACGACGGCGAAGGUCGCCGGCAAUGUAGAUAUUAGUUCAGUUCUUUAG
This 885-nucleotide ribosomal RNA is filed under the name Triticum aestivum (bread wheat). Its description in RNAcentral is "partial small subunit ribosomal RNA". Lineage: Eukaryota; Viridiplantae; Streptophyta; Magnoliopsida; Poales; Poaceae. The record is from RNAcentral.